ACUACCUCUUCGAAACAGAUGAUUAAAAUUGGUAACUAAAUUAAUAGCCAGUCCAAUUUUGUCAGGUUGACAUCAAGUUGAGGAAGGUUUCUGAACAAGAUUUGAGUUAUAUCAAUUUAUUAUGUUAAGCUUAGUAUCAAGUUAUGAUAUGUUAGUAUCAAGAAUUUAUCUAUACUAUAAAAAGGGAAGAACUGGCUUAUACACGUACGGGAUAUGAAAAUUAUGUUUGACGCAUCAUCACGUCUAAACUACUGGACUGAAUUCAACUUUUAAUUUUGCAUACAGUUUCUUAAUUAACUGAGGAUGGUACUAUGCCAACUUCAAACUCUACAAUAUUCCACUCAGUCAAGUUUUCAGUUUGUCAAGUUUCAAAAUGGACCCUUGCGGAGCACGGGUUACCUGCUAGUGGCCAAUAAGUGCGAUGCACUAUGAUGCGCUCCAUUGCUUUGCCGCACACUCAAAUACAACACAUCAAUUGCAUUCUAUAAUUGCCUUAUAACUAAGUAACCAUAGAGAAAAAAUAGCAUAAUGAGAUAUGCCAUGGUAUGAGGAGUUUAUGCUCCAAAUUUCACUGUUAACUCAAGCCGAUUACUGUCUGUUAUUACAGUUUUGGUCGGGUGAGACUGUAAGAAUGGCACAGUAUGAGAGACUAAAAGCGUCAAAUAGCUUCACGAAAAAGAAAUGCUUGGACUAUCAGCCUGAGUUUACAAUGAAAUUUGGAGCAUAAACGACUUAUGGGUUAUCUUUGUAUGUUAUUUUUUCACACAAAAAGAAUGUAUCACACGGACGUGAUAUGGAUUUUUGCCCCUUCACGAAACAAAAUCACAGUCUUAUAGGGUCCACCUAACUUCUUCUGAUACAGGAAUAUUUUAUAUAAUAUUAACUGUUCAUUCUUGUUUAAUAUAAUCAAUUAUAUUUUCGUCAUGAGAAUAUAUUCUUCAAUCAUUAAAUGAUACAUUUUGAUAAUAUUGAGACCUCAAUAUUUUUCUCCAUUAGCUAAUUUAAAUUAGAAAAAAAAAUGUUCGGAAAACAAUCUGGAAUAAUUCAUUUUUACGGAACUAUCUCAAGUUCAAUUUUCACUUUGCAUUAAAACUCCCAAUAAUAUUUUUUUUCUCAUAGAAAUGAAUCCAUGAUCUACAGUUUACUAUAAUAUAAAAGUGUGUUAUUAUCUCUGCUCUUCCAUUCUGAUUUAUUACAUAUCUUAAUUAUUGAGUUUAUUCAGGCUUAUGAAUAUUUUAAAUUUUUAUAAGGUUUAAGCUUCAUUACAAAGAAAUUUGGAGUAGGCUAUCAACAAAAUUUACAAUACUAUUUAAAAUUCGAACACUUGAAAAGUUUGAAAUGUAUCCAUGAUCUACAGUUUACUAUAUAAAAGUGUGUUACUAUCUUUGCUCUUCCAUUCAAAUUUAUUAUUAUUAAUUCCAUUCCAUUAUGAUCAACUGUUGGAGCCUUCUGAGUCAAACUUGGGGCAUCGGCGGUAAAUUUGAAGACGAUGGCCGGAACUUCAACUAAUCCUGAUUCAUUAUCUUCUCUCUUCCAUUCGAAUUUAUUACCUAUCUUAAUUAUUGAGUUUAUUUAGGCUUAUGAAUAUUUAAAAUUUUUAAGCUUCAUUACAAAGAAAUUUGGAACUGAACAAAAUUUUCAAUAUUAUUUGAAAUUCGAACACUUGAAAAUUUUGUCAAUUGUUCAAACAUGGAAGUGUUCAAAUUUCAAAUUGUUCGGAAUAUGGAACACUGUCUGCGAGUACCCUUUCUGGAGUCAACUUAAUUUGAAAUAAAAUAUAUAGCUCUGAUUGGAUUAAUGUCAACCAAAAUUAUUAUAUUAAUUUGAAUUGUUAUUAUUUCAAAUCAUUUUUCGGUUGGAAAAUAUCGAAUUUCAAUAUUGAUAUUUAUUACAAUUCUACACCUGUUUUAAAUUGGUGAACCUGUAAAUACAGCUGAAACUGAUGUUUUCGUCAUUGCGUUCUUAUCGUUCGUGGCUGAUAGUUGAUUUUUUGAUUCUCUGAAGUUGCUCUCUAUUCUCGUUUUUCAUUUAUAGUUUAGUUCCUAUAUCCUCUUAGUUUAUUGUAGUUUAGUUAUUAGGUGUAGCAUUUUAUAGUAUUUAAUUAGUGUACAUAUUUAGUUAGUGUAUAUAUAUAUAUUAUAUAUAAAGAGUGCCGGACUUCAUCGGAAGCUAUUCAUUUCUCUUCUACUAUUUUCUUCUACAAGCUCCGAGUUACAAGAUGGCAAGCACUUCCAAUGCACGCCCUAAUCCCCCAAAGAGGAGGCGUGAGGAGGAUGGGAACGUUGCCCCUCCUAAGAGAAGGUGCAUUGCACCUCAACAGGCCCCUCUUAGACGAUCUCAGAGGAUAAUACAAAGAAAUGCUGAGAGACUAGAGAGAGAGCAACAACAACAACAGCAGAUACAACAUCAACAACAACAACAACACAACAACAACAACACAACAACAACAACAACAAGAACAUCAACAACAACAACAACAACAGCAACCGGAACAGGAACCUGAUGUAUUGGAUUUAUAUUUGGAACUAUACUGGGCCAGGAUUGGCAAAGGGCCCUACUGGCCAUGCCAGAUAGUUAGGGACGAAGAUGGGAGAUUUUACAAGACAAAAAG
Nilaparvata lugens (brown planthopper) is the source of this 2611-nucleotide RNA transcript. RefSeq lists it as uncharacterized. The transcript is spliced from 4 exons. Lineage: Eukaryota; Metazoa; Arthropoda; Insecta; Hemiptera; Delphacidae. The record is from RefSeq and is a predicted model, not a curated record.